Molecule: ribosomal RNA, 274 nt
Filed under: uncultured bacterium
Lineage: Bacteria
Description: partial 16S ribosomal RNA
Rfam family: Bacterial small subunit ribosomal RNA
Source: RNAcentral
AUACGGAGGGUGCAAGCGUUAAUCGGAAUUACUGGGCGUAAAGCGCUCGUAGGCGGUUUGUUAAGUCGGAUGUGAAAGCCCCGGGCUCAACCUGGGAACUGCAUUCGAUACUGGCAAACUAGAGUAUAGUAGAGGCAAGUGGAAUUCCGGGUGUAGCGGUGAAGUGCGUAGAUAUCCGGAGGAACAUCAGUGGCGAAGGCGACUUGCUGGACUAAUACUGACGCUGAGGAGCGAAAGCGUGGGGAGCAAACGGGAUUAGAAACCCCGGUAGUCC